UACAGAGGUGGCGAGCGUUAUUCGGAAUUAUUGGGCGUAAAGGGCGCGUAGGCGGCUUGACAAGUCCCGGGUGAAAUCCCUCGGCUCAACCGAGGAACUGCCUUGGAAACUGUCUGGCUUGAGGCCGGGAGAGGGUAGUGGAAUUCCCAGUGUAGCGGUGAAAUGCGUAGAUACUGGGAGGAACAUCGGUGGCGAAGGCGGCUACCUGGACCGGUUCUGACGCUGAGGCGCGAAAGCGUGGGGAGCAAACAGG
This 253-nucleotide ribosomal RNA is filed under the name uncultured bacterium. RNAcentral's name for it is "partial 16S ribosomal RNA". It matches the Rfam family "Bacterial small subunit ribosomal RNA", at positions 524 to 776 of the family's 1533-position model. The record is from RNAcentral.